CCUACGGGAGGCAGCAGUGAGGAAUAUUGCACAAUGGGGGAAACCCUGAUGCAGCGACGCCGCGUGAGUGAAGAAGUAUUUCGGUAUGUAAAGCCCUAUCAGCAGGGAAGAAAAUGACGGUACCUGACUAAGAAGCCCCGGCUAACUACGUGCCAGCAGCCGCGGUAAUCCGUAGGGGGCAGGCGUUAUCCGGAUUUACUGGGUGUAAAGGGGGCGUGGACGGUGAUGCAAGUCAGAAGUGAAAGCCCGGGGCUCAACUCCGGGACUGCUUUUGAAACUGUGUGACUGGAGUGCAGGAGAGGUAAGCGGAAUUCCUGGUGUAGCGGUGAAAUGCGUAGAUAUCAGGAGGAACACCAGUGGCGAAGGCGGCUUACUGGACUGUAACUGACGUUGAGGCUCGAAAGCGUGGGGAGCAAACAGGAUUAGAUACCCUGGUAGUC
Molecule: ribosomal RNA, 440 nt
Filed under: uncultured bacterium
Lineage: Bacteria
Description: partial 16S ribosomal RNA
Rfam family: Bacterial small subunit ribosomal RNA
Source: RNAcentral